This 253-nucleotide ribosomal RNA is filed under the name uncultured bacterium. RNAcentral's name for it is "partial 16S ribosomal RNA". It matches the Rfam family "Bacterial small subunit ribosomal RNA", at positions 524 to 776 of the family's 1533-position model. The record is from RNAcentral.
UACGUAGGGGGCAAGCGUUGUCCGGAUUUCUUGGGCGUAAAGCGCUCGCAGGUGGCUCGUCGCGUCGUGCGUGAAAGACCCCGGCUCAACUGGGGAGUGUCGUGCGAUACGGGCGGACUGGAGGCCAGUAGGGGGAUGCGGAAUUCCGGGUGUAGUGGUGGAAUGCGUAGAGAUCCGGAGGAACACCAGCGGCGAAGGCGGCAUCCUGGACUGGUCCUGACACUCAGGAGCGAAAGCGUGGGGAGCGAUCCGG